This is a non-coding RNA of Paramuricea clavata, 724 nucleotides long. The record is from the annotation of a GenBank genome assembly. NCBI's taxonomy places the organism in Eukaryota, Metazoa, Cnidaria, Anthozoa, Malacalcyonacea, Plexauridae.
CUUUGAGAGAAUUAAUAUUAUGCGUGCCGGUUAAGAUUGUUCGUAUAAGAUGACCCAGGAGAUAUAAUUAAUAUAGCACCAACAAUCUUGGGUCGAAAGUUUCGCCAAAGCCGAGACCAAGAAAUGAACGUGUCCAGUACAAAACAAAACAAUUAUAUUUAUUUUUACCAUGCAAAUCUACAAGGACAAGGUCAAGGAUCUUAUUAAUGUGCUUUAUGACAAUACCAAUGGUGUCGAGAUAACGAAAUAUCUUUAAAAAGUCCAAUACAUUGAAACAAAACCCCACAAAAUGCUUGAAAACGUGACUAUCUUUCUAUCUAUAUUACAGCAAAUAAAAAUAUUUCGAAACUCAUUAAAUCUCUAUUUAGCUUUCGCGUAAUUGCCUCAAUACAAUGUCUUGUCUUCUGUGAUAUUUGCCCAUGGCCAUAUGUAUGGCCAUGAAAACAGGCGAGCUACUGCAAUGACAACGAAAUUCAAGUCAGCGUUCUGGGCAGAAAGAGCAUGUAAAACUGUAAAAUAAGUUCACUGGACAACUAGCUUAUAAUUUUUUGUUCUCGAUAUAUGUAAAUUAAAUAAAUCUAUGACAUUAUGCAAGGGAGUAAAAUACUAGUUUCAAACGUAGUAUAGUCUCGUCAAAGGUUCAAAUGAUGAAAUAUUUCAAACCAUAUACAGCUAAUUCAAAAAAGGUUUUCCUUUGAAAAACCUUAAUCUGUUUAGAAAGCGG